Molecule: ribosomal RNA, 292 nt
Filed under: uncultured bacterium
Lineage: Bacteria
Description: partial 16S ribosomal RNA
Rfam family: Bacterial small subunit ribosomal RNA
Source: RNAcentral
GUGUCAGCAGCCGCGGUAAUACGGGGGGAGCAAGCGUUGUUCGGAUUCAUUGGGCGUAAAGGGCGCGUAGGCGGCUUGGCAAGUCCGACGUGAAAUGUACCGGUUCAACCGGGGCACCGUGUCGGAAACUGCCUGGCUUGAGGCCGAGGGAGGAUGGUGGAAUUCCUGGUGUAGCGGUGAAAUGCGUAGAUAUCAGGAGGAACACCCGUGGCGAAGGCGGCCAUCUAUCUCGGAUCUGACGCUGAGGCGCGAAAGCUGGGGGAGCAAACGGGAUUAGAUACCCUCGUAGUCC